GUUAUUAGCGGUGCAACUUCCCAUACUCAGAUGCCGGGCCAGAUCACAAUGCGCUCCUUUUCUUCCGACAUGUUGUGCGUUCAUGCACUAAAUACCACAACAUACUUGGAAAGUUUGAUGGCACUGACUGCUUAAUAAUUGUUAUUAAAGAAGUUUGAAAAGGAUUACUUCUUUGUUGCCUGAUUCUCUGACCGGAAUCAAUGUCCAUAUUUGUCCGCCAGUAGAACUGUAAAUUUACUCCGUUGACAGAGGUAUAGUACCCCGUCACAAGUUGGUCCUUCGAGCCGGAGCUGGCAAAGCAAACAAUAUGGACAGUGCAACUGUAGUUGUAUCAGACCCCGCAGCCAGACCGAAGAGAAAGGGUAAACUGCCAUCACAUUUGGGAGAUUAUGAAGUUGGCUAUACACUUCCUGAGGGCCCUCCUUCAAUCACUGCUUCACGCUGUCACAGCCAACAUAAAAGCCAGUCAAGGAAAACGUCACAUAGUAAAGCCAGCCUUCAUUCUAAAUCCAGUAGUUUUUCCACUACUUCUCGUGCACAAGCUACUUUAGCACUCACAAGCAGUCAGGCAGCCAUCGUGGAGGAGAGAAUUAAGCAGCGUCAGUAUGAUAACCUUCUUG
RNAcentral lists this long non-coding RNA (620 nucleotides) under Danio rerio (zebrafish). RNAcentral describes it as "si:dkey-189n19.3 (ENSDARG00000094331.2)". Lineage: Eukaryota; Metazoa; Chordata; Actinopteri; Cypriniformes; Danionidae. The record is from RNAcentral.